GGCUAUCUGCAGUCGAACGCGUCUCCGUUGAUGAUUUNAGGUGCUUGCACNUGAAAGAUUUAACAUUGAGACGAGUGGCGAACUGGUGAGUAACACGUGGGUAACCUGCCCUUGAAGUAGGGGAUAACACUUGGAAACAGGUGCUAAUACCGUAUAACAACCAAAACCACCUGGUUUUGGUUUAAAAGACGGCUUCGGCUGUCACUUUAGGAUGGACCCGCGGCGUAUUAGCUUGUUGGUAAGGUAACGGCCUACCAAGGCGAUGAUACGUAGCCGACCUGAGAGGGUAAUCGGCCACAUUGGGACUGAGACACGGCCCAAACUCCUACGGGAGGGCAGCAGUAANAA
Molecule: ribosomal RNA, 348 nt
Filed under: Lentilactobacillus buchneri
Lineage: Bacteria; Bacillati; Bacillota; Bacilli; Lactobacillales; Lactobacillaceae
Description: bacterial SSU rRNA
Rfam family: Bacterial small subunit ribosomal RNA
Source: RNAcentral